AUUGAACGCUGGCGGCAUGCCUUACACAUGCAAGUCGAACGGCAGCAUGAUCUAGCUUGCUAGAUUGAUGGCGAGUGGCGAACGGGUGAGUAAUACAUCGGAACGUGCCCUGUAGUGGGGGAUAACUAGUCGAAAGAUUAGCUAAUACCGCAUACGACCUGAGGGUGAAAGUGGGGGACCGCAAGGCCUCAUGCUAUAGGAGCGGCCGAUGUCUGAUUAGCUAGUUGGUGAGGUAAAGGCUCACCAAGGCGACGAUCAGUAGCUGGUCCGAGAGGACGAUCAGCCACACUGGGACUGAGACACGGCCCAGACUCCUACGGGAGGCAGCAGUGGGGAAUUUUGGACAAUGGGCGAAAGCCUGAUCCAGCAAUGCCGCGUGUGUGAAGAAGGCCUUCGGGUUGUAAAGCACUUUUGUCCGGAAAGAAAUGGCUCUGGUUAAUACCUGGGGUCGAUGACGGUACCGGAAGAAUAAGGACCGGCUAACUACGUG
RNAcentral lists this ribosomal RNA (490 nucleotides) under uncultured bacterium. Its description in RNAcentral is "partial 16S ribosomal RNA". It matches the Rfam family "Bacterial small subunit ribosomal RNA", at positions 30 to 507 of the family's 1533-position model. The record is from RNAcentral.